This 304-nucleotide long non-coding RNA is filed under the name Elaeis guineensis (African oil palm). Its description in RNAcentral is "long non-coding RNA (EGUI_LNC075963)". Lineage: Eukaryota; Viridiplantae; Streptophyta; Magnoliopsida; Arecales; Arecaceae. The record is from RNAcentral.
UGUCAAGAUUUGCUCCGAUGGAAUAUGGAUAUAAAUAUCCCUCCGACCUGAGACCGUCACGGUGACUUGCAAGCAACUCACUACACUUAGGCACUGGACUACCUGAAUUUUUAAUUCAGUGACGGAAGGCUGCUGGGUGUAGUCAAGUACUUGACUUGUCGGUGCAUGUGUCAAGAUGGGAUUGACCACUCCAGUUUAGGAGCUGUGUACAGUCGUAUUUUAAUUUAGCAAAAUCUUGGCCAGGAUAGUUCUUGUGAGGAGUCACAGGACUGUUUGAGUUGAGCACGAUUCGGAUGAUCUGAUC